UAUCAAUAAGCGGAGGAAAAGAAACCAACAGGGAUUGCCCCAGUAACGGCGAGUGAAGCGGCAACAGCUCAAAUUUGAAAUCUGGCCCCCCCGGGGCCCGAGUUGUAAUUUGCAGAGGAUGCUUUUGGCGAGGCGCCUUCCGAGUUCCCUGGAACGGGACGCCGCAGAGGGUGAGAGCCCCGUCUGGUCGGACGCCGAGCCUCUGUAAAGCUCCUUCGACGAGUCGAGUAGUUUGGGAAUGCUGCUCUAAAUGGGAGGUAUAUGUCUUCUAAAGCUAAAUACCGGCCAGAGACCGAUAGCGCACAAGUAGAGUGAUCGAAAGAUGAAAAGCACUUUGAAAAGAGGGUUAAACAGUACGUGAAAUUGUUGAAAGGGAAGCGCUCACGACCAGACUUGGGCCCGGCGGCAUCAUCCGGCGUUCUCGCCGGUGCACUCCGCCAGGCUUCCAGGCCAGCAUCAGUUCGCGCCGGGGGACAAAGGCUCGGGGAAUGUAGCUUCCCUCGGGAGUGGUAUAACCCCCUGCGCAAUGCCCCGGGGCGGACUGAGGUUCGCGCGUCCCGCAAGGAUGCUGGCGUAAUGGUCGUCAGCGACCCGUCUUGAAACACGGACCAAGGAGUCGUCUUCGUAUGCGAGUGUUCGGGUGUGAAACCCCUACGCGUAAUGAAAGUGAACGCAGGUGAGAGCUUCGGCGCAUCAUCGACCGAUCCUGAUGUUCUCGGAUGGAUUUGAGUAGGAGCAUACGGGGCCGGACCCGAAAGAAGGUGAACUAUGCCUGUAUAGGGUGAAGCCAGAGGAAACUCUGGUGGAGGCUCGCAGCGGUUCUGACGUGCAAAUCGAUCGUCAAAUAUGGGCAUGGGGGCGAAAGACUAAUCGAACCUUCUAGUAGCUGGUUUCCGCCGAAGUUUCCCUCAGGAUAGCAGUGUUGAUCUCAGUUUUAUGAGGUAAAGCGAAUGAUUAGGGACCCGGGGGCGCUAUAUUGCCUUCAUCCAUUCUCAAACUUUAAAUAUGUAAGAAGCCCUUGUUGCUUAGCUGAACGUGGGCGUUCGAAUGUAUCAACACUAGUGGGCCAUUUUUGGUAAGCAGAACUGGCGAUGCGGGAUGAACCGAACGCGAGGUUAAGGUGCCAGAGUAGACGCUCAUCAGACACCACAAAAGGUGUUAGUACAUCUUGACAGCAGGACGGUGGCCAUGGAAGUCGGAAUCCGCUAAGGACUGUGUAACAACUCACCUGCCGAAUGUACUAGCCCUGAAAAUGGAUGGCGCUCAAGCGUCUCACCCAUACCUCGCCCUCGGGGUAGAAACGACGCCCCGAGGAGUAGGCGGACGUGGGGGUCAGUGACGAAGCCUAGGGCGCGAGCCCGGGUCGAACGGCCCCUAGUGC
Molecule: ribosomal RNA, 1381 nt
Filed under: Balansia henningsiana
Lineage: Eukaryota; Fungi; Ascomycota; Sordariomycetes; Hypocreales; Clavicipitaceae
Description: LSU rRNA
Rfam family: Eukaryotic large subunit ribosomal RNA
Source: RNAcentral